Molecule: transfer RNA, 69 nt
Filed under: Apriona germarii
Lineage: Eukaryota; Metazoa; Arthropoda; Insecta; Coleoptera; Cerambycidae
Description: Apriona germari tRNA-Met
Rfam family: tRNA
About the family: Transfer RNA (tRNA) molecules are approximately 80 nucleotides in length. Their secondary structure includes four short double-helical elements and three loops (D, anti-codon, and T loops).
Source: RNAcentral
AAAAAGAUAAGCUAAUAAAGCUAAUGGGUUCAUACCUCAUUUAUGAAAGUUUUAAUCUUUCUCUUUUUA